RNAcentral lists this ribosomal RNA (309 nucleotides) under uncultured bacterium. RNAcentral's name for it is "partial 16S ribosomal RNA". It matches the Rfam family "Bacterial small subunit ribosomal RNA", at positions 504 to 807 of the family's 1533-position model. The record is from RNAcentral.
AGAGACAGCAGCAGCCGCGGGAAUACAGAGGGUGCAAGCGUUAAUCGGAAUUACUGGGCGUAAAGCGCGCGUAGGUGGUUUGUUAAGUUGGAUGUGAAAUCCCCGGGCUCAACCUGGGAACUGCAUUUGUGACUGUAUAGCUAGAGUACGGCAGAGGGGGAUGGAAUUCCGCGUGUAGCAGUGAAAUGCGUAGAUAUGCGGAGGAACACCGAUGGCGAAGGCAAUCCCCUGGGCCCGUACUGACGCUCAUGCACGAAAGCGUGGGGAGCAAACAGGAUUAGAUACCCCCGUAGUCCCUGUCUCUUAUAC